CCUACGGGUGGCAGCAGUGGGGAAUAUUGGGCAAUGGGCGCAAGCCUGACCCAGCAACGCCGCGUGAAGGAAGAAGGCUUUCGGGUUGUAAACUUCUUUUGUCAGGGAAGAGUAGAAGACGGUACCUGACGAAUAAGCCACGGCUAACUACGUGCCAGCAGCCGCGGUAAUACGUAGGUGGCAAGCGUUGUCCGGAUUUACUGGGGGUAAGGGGCGGGUAGCCGGGUUGACAAGUCAGAUGGGAAAUCCUGCGGCUUAACCGCAGAACUGCAUUUGAAACUGUUGAUCUUGAGUACUGGAGAGGCAGACGGAAUUCCUAGUGUAGCGGUGAAAUGCGUAGAUAUUAGGAGGAACACCAGUGGCGAAGGCGGUCUGCUGGACAGCAACUGACGGUGAGGCGCGAAAGCGUGGGGAUCAAACAGGAUUAGAUACCCCUGUAGUC
Molecule: ribosomal RNA, 442 nt
Filed under: uncultured bacterium
Lineage: Bacteria
Description: partial 16S ribosomal RNA
Rfam family: Bacterial small subunit ribosomal RNA
Source: RNAcentral